Long non-coding RNA from Oncorhynchus tshawytscha (Chinook salmon), 2207 nucleotides. NCBI's taxonomy places the organism in Eukaryota, Metazoa, Chordata, Actinopteri, Salmoniformes, Salmonidae. The record is from Ensembl.
ACGGGAAGGGUAACUAACGGGAAGGGUAACUCACGGGAAGGGUAACUAACGGGAAGGGUAACUAACGGGAAGGGUAACUAACGGGAAGGGUAACUCACAGGAAGGGUAACUAAUGGGAAGGGUAACUCACGGGAAGGGUAACUAACAGGAAGGGUAACUCACAGGAAGGGUAACUAACGGGAAGGGUAACUCACGGGAAGAGUAACUAACGGGAAGGGUAACUAACGGGAAGGGUAACUCAGGGAAGGGUAACUCACGGGAAGGGUAACUAACGGGAAGGGUAACUAACGGGAAGGGUAACUCACGGGAAGAGUAACUAACGGGAAGGGUAACUAACGGGAAGGGUAACUAACGGGAAGGGUAACUCACAGGAAGAGUAACUAACGGGAAGAGUAACUCAAGGGAAGGGUAACUCACGGUAAGGGUAACUCACAGUAAGGGUAACUCACGGGAAGGGUAACUCACGGGAAGGGUAACUCACGGGAAGGGUAACUAACGGGAAGAGUAACUAACGGGAAGAGUAACUCACAGGAAGGGUAACUCACGGUAAGGGUAACUCACGGGAAGGGUAACUAACGGGAAGGGUAACUAACGGGAAGAGUAACUAACGGGAAGGGUAACUCAUGGGAAGGGUAACUCACGGUAAGGGUAACUCACGGGAAGGGUAAUUCACGGUAAGGGUAACUCACGGUAAGGGUAACUCACGGGAAGGGUAACUCACGGGAAGGGUAACUCACGGGAAGGGUAACUAACGGGAAGGGUAACUCACGGGAAUGGUAACUCACGGGAAGGGUAACUCACGGGAAGGGUAACACACGGGAAGGGUAACUCACAGGAAGGGUAACUAACGGGAAGGGUAACUCACGGGAAGGGUAACUCACAGGAAGGGUAACUAACGGGAAGGGUAACUCACGGGAAGGGUAACUCAUGGGAAGGGUAACUAACGGGAAGAGUAACUAACGGGAAGGGUAACUCACGGAAAGGGUAACUAACGGGAAGGGUAACUCACGGGAAGGGUAACUCACAGGAAGGGUAACUAACGGGAAGGGUUACACACGGGAAGGGUAACUCACGGGAAGGGUAACUCACGGGAAGGGUAACUAACGGGAAGGGUAACUCACGGGAAGGGUAACUCACGGGAAGGGUAACUCACGGGAAGGGUACUCACGGGAAGGGUAAAUAACGGGAAGGGUAACUCACGGGAAGGGUAACUCACGGGAAGGGUAACUCACGGGAAGGGUAACACACGGGAAGGGUAACUCACGGGAAGGGUAACUCACGGGAAGGGUAACUCACGGGAAGAGUAACUAACGGGAAGGGUAACUAACGGGAAGGGUAACUCACGGGAAGGGUAACUCACGGGAAGGGUAACUCACGGGAAGGGUAACUCACGGGAAGGGUAACUCACGGGAAGGGUAACUAACGGGAAGGGUAACUCACGGGAAGGGUAACUAACGGGAAGGGUAACUCACGGGAAGGGUAACUCACGGGAAGGGUAACUCACGGGAAGGGUAACUAACGGGAAGAGUAACUAACGGGAAGGGUAACUCACGGGAAGGGUAACUCACGGUAAGGGUAACUCACGGGAAGGGUAACUCACGGCAAGGGUAACUCACGGUAAGGGUAACUCACGGGAAGGGUAACUCACGGGAAGGGUAACUCACGGGAAGGGUAACUAACGGGAAGGGUAACUCACGGGAAGGGUAACUUACGGGAAUGGUAACUCACGGGAAGGGUAACUCACGGGAAGGGUAACACACGGGAAGGGUAACUCACAGGAAGGGUAACUAACGGGAAGGGUAACUCACGGGAAGGGUAACUCACGGGAAGGGUAACUCACGGGAAGGGUAAAUCACGGAAGGGUAACUCACGGGAAGGGUAAAUCACGGGAAGGAUAAGUCACGGGAAGGGUAAAUCACAGGAAGGGUAAAUCACGGGAAGGGUAAAUCACGGGAAGGGUAACUCACGGGAAGGGUAAAUCACGGGAAGGGUAAAUCACGGGAAGGGUAGCUCACGGGAAGGGUAACUCAUGGGAAACCCAGCACUCCGAAAGCCAUGUGUCACAAAACAAACAAUACCUUCCAGUGAUGGGGUGCAAAGAACUGAACUAAAUAGUGUGUGAUAAUGACAUAUAGGUGUGUGAAACAGGUGAUUAGAAUUCAGGUGAUUGAGAUCUGGAGAGUGAGCUGCGUUCGGGGGAUCUAGGU